CCCUCUUUCAAUCUCACGCAGAAGAAGAAAAAAAGAACAAGAACAACUUCUUCAUUUUCUCUCAAUUUCGCCCAUGGUGAACAACAACAAAAACGAAACUUCUUAAAUUCGUGGUGUUCUCUUAUUCUUUUGCUCUUGCGGUUUUCUCUUUCUCUCGUGGUCUCUUAAUAAACAAUACGGUGGUGGAAGUUAUGAAGGUGUGGUGGAGAUCACGGCGGCCAUGGAAGUAUACGGAGGAGCUUGCCGGAAAUCAUAGGAACCAUCUUUCAAUCUGUAACCCAAUUUCACUCACAAACAGAAGUGAAAACUCAGGUACAACAACAACAGUGACUUGGCCUCAUUUCGAUCGAUUAACUCUCUUUGAAUCGUUAUUUUUGCUCUGUGAAUAACAAUAACAAUGCUCAACCAAUCUCUCUUGGUUUCACGGCAGCCAUGGGUGAACAAGAAGUUAUUUUAAAGGUAUGGUUCUCACAAAUUUUGUUUCUAUGGCGCAAUUCAGUUUCUUAUGACAGUAGCAACAAUAACUUGUGCUUUCUUGUUUUUUCCGGUUUUGAGCAAAUUAUAAGUAAAGAACAAAUAACAGUGAUACCAAAAGUGGUAGGAGAACCGAAUUACCUGCGGCGAGGAGGAUUUCGCCGGUUUUAAUUGCUAAGGUACAACACUGAUUAAUGGAAAUAUUGAGAGUGAAAGCAGAAAGACUUACCUAUGGCGAGGAGGUUUUCGCCGGAUUAUCGUUGAGGCUUUUGAUGAAGGUGAUGCCAUAACACCUCUUUGGAUAUUAGGGAGACUUGAAGAUGGACUUCAAGUUGGAACUCUCCACCAAGGUAUGAAGAAUUUCUUAUUCACUCCCCUUCAAGAAAUAUGUAGCUAGAAACUCUUAUUUUUUCAAGUAGUUUUCUUUGAUUUGAAGAAUUUCUCCUUCUAACAAAGAAACAUGAAAACUAUAAGAGAAGAGGAAGAAGUGAGAAAGCUAGUAGUAUAGUAGCUUUGGUGUCAUUUGCAAUGAAGUGAGGCCUUCUAUUUAUAGGAAAAUUUAAGGAUGUGUUUGGCAUUUGGUAAACUUGAUUGGCAAGAUAUAAUCAUUGCAAGAAUAUUCUUCAUGAGAUAUUUCUUAUGCAAGUGGAAAAAAUCUCUCUUUGAUCCUUUUUUUGUCUUGAAUUAUUCUUUUGCUAAAUACACCCCUUUUUGUUUCUUUUUUCAUGUUGCAUGAGGACUUUGAAGAAAGCAUGAAGAAAUUUGAUUUUGAAGAAUGAAGACUUUGAAGAUUGAAGGAUUCAAGAAAGUCUUUGAAGCUUUUUUUUUCUUUUUUCUUGUAAUUCCAAUUCAUUUCACCUUAGAAUUGUA
Vicia villosa (hairy vetch) is the source of this 1344-nucleotide long non-coding RNA. RefSeq lists it as uncharacterized. Lineage: Eukaryota; Viridiplantae; Streptophyta; Magnoliopsida; Fabales; Fabaceae. The record is from RefSeq and is a predicted model, not a curated record. The transcript has 4 exons.